This 501-nucleotide ribosomal RNA is filed under the name uncultured bacterium. Its description in RNAcentral is "partial 16S ribosomal RNA". It matches the Rfam family "Bacterial small subunit ribosomal RNA", at positions 29 to 523 of the family's 1533-position model. The record is from RNAcentral.
AUUGAACGCUGGCGGCAGGCUUAACACAUGCAAGUCGAGCGGGGGAAGGUAGCUUGCUACCGGACCUAGCGGCGGACGGGUGAGUAAUGCGUAGGAAUCUGACUAUUAGGGGGGGACAACAUCUCGAAAGGGAUGCUAAUACCGCAUACGUCCUACGGGAGAAAGCCGGGGAGCUGCGGACCUGGCGCUAAUACAUGAGCCUAGGUCGGAUUAGCGAGUUGCUGGGGUCAAGGCCUACCAAGGCGACGAUGUGUAGCGGGUCUGAGAGGAUGAGCCGCCACACUGGGACUGAGACACGGCCCAGACUCCUACGGGAGGCAGCAGUGGGGAAUAUUGGACAAUGGGGGGGACCCUGAUCCAGCCAUGCCGCGUGUGUGAAGAAGGCCUUAUGGUUGUAAAGCACUUUAAGCGAGGAGGAGGCUACUCUAGUUAAUACCUAGGGAUAGUGGACGUUACUCGCAGAAUAAGCACCGGCUAACUCUGUGCCAGCCGCCGCAGUAA